UGCAAGUCGAGGGGCAGCACAAGGAGCAAUCUGAGGUGGCGACCGGCGCACGGGUGAGUAACACGUAUGCAACCUGCCUGUAAGCGGGGAAUAACCCGUUGAAAGACGGACUAAUACCGCAUAAUACUAAAUUACUGUAUGGUAAUUUAUUUAAACAUUUAUGGCUUACAGAUGGGCAUGCGCAUGAUUAGCUAGUUGGAGAGGUAACGGCUCCCCAAGGCAACGAUCAUUAGGGGUUCUGAGAGGAAGGUCCCCCCACACUGGUACUGAGACACGGACCAGACUCCUACGGGAGGCAGCAGUGAGGAAUAUUGGUCAAUGGACGAGAGUCUGAACCAGCCAAGUCGCGUGCAGGAAGAAUUGUCCUAUGGAUUGUAAACUGCUUUUGCAGGGGAAUAAAGUGCAUCACGUGUGAUGUUUUGUAUGUACUCUGCGAAUAAGGAUCGGCUAACUCCGUGCCAGCCGCCGC
Molecule: ribosomal RNA, 469 nt
Filed under: uncultured bacterium
Lineage: Bacteria
Description: bacterial SSU rRNA
Rfam family: Bacterial small subunit ribosomal RNA
Source: RNAcentral